AAAAGCAACAGGAUCGCAUCCAGGUUACAGUAUUGAAAUUAGAAUCUACCACUAUUAUUACACAACAUCUCUUACCAAAUCAGAUCAUCUUCGAUAAGAAGAAUCACUGUCAACUAUUCCAGCUUGCACCAACCUCAUCAACUUUCCUGAACACUCCUCGACCACUGGAUCCUCAUCUCUGUCACCUCGCCUAGCAUUAGCCUUACUCACAAUCUCAAUCAAUCAUCUCCUCUUUAAGCCUUUCUGAAAUGGUUAGAAAGGAAUAGCAAGGGUGAGCAACAAUGCUCAGCAAGUAAUAAUAAACAAUGAUAGUUCUGAAAUGAUAUAAUAGAAUUUCACGAGUUCAAGAUAUAAAAGGGUUCAACCUGAGUUCACGAGUUUAGGUAUUGUAUAAGAACACCACAAUACCUUGCAGCAAUUGAAUACUGAGGAAUUCAAUCUUUCCAAAAGAAUUAUUGAAUUGGACUAUCACAUUUUAAUUAAAACCAAGGUUAGGCAGCUGAUCAGUUCCGCACUAACCCCGAGCAGGCCCCGCCAUGCUCUAUCACUGGAUCCAAGGCACUCAUUGGCCUAACAUGACCACGAAUCUGGUCCACAGGUUUAUAUAAAAACAAUAAUCCAAUUCUCUAAUUCAAUUCAAGAAGCCAAUGUAAAUCAACAGAACAUCAUCAUAAUCAUCAUCAACAACUGAAUAAUUUCAAAUCAAACUUUGAUAAUAAACUUUUCAUAAGUCACAGUCCAUUCUUUCAUAAAUCAUCGUUCAGGAAAUCCCUAACUAUUCAAUAUCCUCCAUUAUCUGCUAAGCAACUGAAUUUAGCCUGCUAAACCAGCAUGACAAUGGCGGGUUGAAUAAUCAAGAAGAUCCCAAUUCAUUCAAAGCUCUAACUAUCACUGAGCAACACAUGCUUCAAUGACAAUCUGAACUUCGAAUUAAUUUGUAAAACGGAAAUUCUUUAGAAACCUGAAGAUUAGAAAGAAUGGUUCAGAAUACUCGCACUUUCGAACAUUGAAAAGAAAGGUAUGAAUACUUGAAACAUAUACCAAAGGAAUGGAUCAGAAUAUUUGCAAUAUAUCCAAGAGAAAGGUUUAGGAUACUUGCAACACAUCAAAAGAAUGAAUCAGAAUAUUUGCAAUAUAUCCAAAAGCAGGGUGCAGGAUACUUGCCUUAAAUCUGACUCCAGUCUCACAUCUCAAUCUCAUCUUUCCACUUUCACAAUCUAUGCAUCUCAUAGUCUCUAGACCAUCUCUGGCUAUACUCUAUCUACCGUACAUCUUCGCUUCGCUUACUCGAUUCAUCCCUUAUUCGCUUUGCAAUACCAUUCUGACUUUUUGACGUCUUCUAGCGUACACGUCUCCUCCAAAUCCUUUACGAGAAUAAGAUAAUACUAUAGUCACUAAACAAUAUAUCGCAUAGGUUCAUCCCUUAUUCGCUUUGCAAUACCAUUUCGACUUCCUGACGUCUUCGAGCGUACACGUCUCGUCCAAAUCCUUUACGAGAAUAAGAUAAUACUAUAGUCACUAAACAAUAUAUCGCAUAUACAUAUCACGUAUACCGAUACCCACUUAUAUACCCCUCUUUAAACUUAUCACAUAUCACUUAACACAUAAUCAUGCUUUGACUCUACCAAAUAGUCAAGUCAUAUUCCACAUAACAUAUUAUCAAUCAAUUAUCCUAUAAAUCUUAUCGAUAAUUUGACAGCGUCUCCUCUAUUUAUUAGAGUAUCCCCCUGUCAACAUAUUCCAAACAAUCAACUCCAGUCACUAUAAUCCAUAUAUUCUUAUCCAAUAUCAAUCAUACGAAUCAUUUAUCACUUCACAAUAUCAAAACUAACACGUACUUCACAUAAUCAUCACCUAAUAGCACUUAGAUCACAUAUUAUCACAUUAUGCAUACUUAUCAACAAUUAUUCACCUUAUAGACUCAGCCAUAUAGUCACAUCAUAUUAAAAUAGACGUUAUAAGCUUCUGUCUCUCUUUCGUUUCACUUGAUUCCGACUUACGGAUCAAAAGUUAUGCUCAAAACAGUUUUCUCACUCUCCUAUCGGCACAUAACACAUCCAACCAAUAGCAGACAACACACAACACAUAAGGUUUCCCAUCCCAAUUGAUAUUAAAUCAAGUCUUGGGUUAAAAAUGAUUUUUCGGGAAUUUUCCAGAAUUUUUAAACAUUUUUCGGAAUUAAAAUCGAUAAAAGAAUCACUUUUUGAAUAAAUAAUCAAGUCCGGAUGCUCAAAACUGGACUUGAAAUCAUUCAUAAACAAUUGUCGAGCCUUGAACAUAAUUUGGAAAAAUAUUUUAAAGCUCGAAACUAUUUUUCGGAAUUUUUAAAUCAAAAAGGAUUAAUUAAAUCCAAUUAAUUAAUCAAUUAAAAUCAAUUAAUAAUUAAUUAAAAUAAUUAAUCAAUUAAUAUUUAAAUUAAUUGACCAAUUAAAAUAAUUAAUUACUAAUUAAAAUUAAUUAACAAACUAAUUUAGAUUUAUUUUUGAAUAAAGAAAUAAUUAAAAACUAUUUUUGAAAUUUAAAAUAAUUAAAUAAAAACAUUUUUGAAAAUAUUUUGUAAAAGGUUUAAACUGUAAAAAUCUAAAAGUUUGCACUCGGGGUGCAAUGUGUCAAAUUCAAAAGUUUCAGGGUCGAAAACGUUUAAUAUGAAACUCGGGUACGAAGACUUCACCGUUUCCAAAAGUUGGGGGUACUAAACGGCACUUUUGCACCGCCUUCCCCCCGACUUCGCCGGAAACGGCGUCUUCCACCUCCGUUCUUUACCCAAAUCACCCAGAACUCAAGCUUAAGCCACCAGGAAGCUGAUGAACAGAUCAAUUUGCUCAAAAGCACGACCAUUUGGCCGUAUUUUCGAAACAAAAAUCACGCCGCCGCCAAGUUCUUCAACUCCGGCGAGGCUGCUACAAACCUCCUCCAUCAAAACCGAUCACACCAAUCGAUUCUACACAACCCACCGAACAUGUUCCAAUCAUCAAAACUCACCUAGACUUAACCGAACUCAGAAAUCGAAUUUUCAAUUAAAAGCUUCAAGAACAAACGAAGAACAUUCAAGCACAUACAAUCUCAGAAUCAACCUAACGUUUCAAUAUGAUUCCGAACUCCAAAUUCAACAAAUAAUAUACCAAAACGACGAGAAAAACACGCUCUACAACAUGGCAUCAUCAAAUCAAUCAAACAAGAUCAGUUACAAAAAUUUAUCAUUUAAAAAUCAAAUAAUUCGAAUUUUAUAAAAAUAAUCUAAAAUCACCUGUUGAAUCUGCACACAAACGGAUGAUUAAACUAGAUUCUACGCGUCGAUAGCUUCGUUUUGACUAUUCAUACGCCUCCAUCGGAUUCCAAUAACACCUCCAAAUCUUCGUUUGAUUAUGAAGAACACGAAGAACAUACUUCGGUUUCUCUCGGUAUUCGUGCAAAGAAACUGGUGAAAAUGAUUUUUUACGGUGAAAAUAAGUUACAAGAAAGUCUAUUUAUAUUUACAAAUAAUUGGUACCCCUUUGGAUCGUUUAUGACAUGAAAAUACGUAUUAAUAGCUUUAUAUUAAUAAAGCGGGGUCCAAUCGGUACUGGUUUUUGAGAUAAUCAUCA
This 3584-nucleotide long non-coding RNA is filed under the name Daucus carota (carrot). RNAcentral's name for it is "long non-coding RNA (DCAR_LNC005765)". Lineage: Eukaryota; Viridiplantae; Streptophyta; Magnoliopsida; Apiales; Apiaceae. The record is from RNAcentral.